This is a non-coding RNA of Caenorhabditis elegans, 140 nucleotides long. The record is from Ensembl. NCBI's taxonomy places the organism in Eukaryota, Metazoa, Nematoda, Chromadorea, Rhabditida, Rhabditidae.
AUUCAAAAGAAAUAAUUGACAUAUACACCCUACCAAAACUGCAAACACAAGAGCAAGGAUAAUUCAUCAUCGAGAUCUCCAAUUAUCCCUUACAGUCUGUCAAGAAUACAUGAAUAUUUGAUAAGGUAAAGUAUGGAAGA